Molecule: ribosomal RNA, 756 nt
Filed under: uncultured bacterium
Lineage: Bacteria
Description: bacterial SSU rRNA
Rfam family: Bacterial small subunit ribosomal RNA
Source: RNAcentral
AUGCAAGUCGAACGCUCCGCGUAGCAAUACGUGGGGAGUGGCGGACGGGUGAGUAACACGUAGCUCAUCUACCCUGGGAAGGGGGAUAACAGCUGGAAACGGCUGCUAAUACCCCAUACGCUGGGAGGCGGUAGGGGCCUCUCAGGAAAGCUGAGGCGUCCUGGGAUGAGGCUGCGGCCCAUCAGCUGGUUGGCGAGGUAACGGCUCACCAAGGCGACGACGGGUAGGGGGCCUGAGAGGGUGGUCCCCCACACUGGAACUGAGACACGGUCCAGACUCCUACGGGAGGCAGCAGUGAGGAAUAUUGCGCAAUGGGCGAAAGCCAGACGCAGCAACGCCGCGUGGAGGAAGACGGCCUUCGGGUUGUAAACUCCUUUUCUGGGGGAAGAUUUGGACGGUACCCCAGGAAGAAGUCUCGGCUAACUACGUGCCAGCAGCCGCGGUAAAACGUAUGAGACGAGCGUUAUCCGGAUUUACUGGGCGUAAAGCGCGUGCAGGCGGUUGGGCAAGUCGUGCGUGAAAGCUCCUGGCUUAACUGGGAGAGGUCGUACGAAACUGCCCGACUGGAGGGCACGCGAGGGGUGUGGAAUUCCGGGUGUAGUGGUGAAAUGCGUAGAUAUCCGGAGGAACACCAGUGGCGGAGGCGACACCCUGGACUGUACCUGACGCUCAUACGCGAAAGCAUGGGGAGCGAACGGGAUUAAAAACCCCGGUAGUCCAUGCUGUUAACGAUGUGCACUGGGCGUGGAAGGCUGC